UUGCGGGGUAGAGCAGCUUGGUAGCUCGCGAGGCUCAUAACCUUGAGGUCACGGGUUCAAAUCCCGUCUCCGCUAG
This 76-nucleotide transfer RNA is filed under the name Araucaria angustifolia. RNAcentral describes it as "tRNA-Met". It matches the Rfam family "tRNA". From Rfam's summary of the family: Transfer RNA (tRNA) molecules are approximately 80 nucleotides in length. Their secondary structure includes four short double-helical elements and three loops (D, anti-codon, and T loops). The record is from RNAcentral. Lineage: Eukaryota; Viridiplantae; Streptophyta; Pinopsida; Araucariales; Araucariaceae.